GAUGAACGCUGGCGGCGUGCCUAAUACAUGCAAGUCGAGCGAACGGACGAGAAGCUUGCUUUUCUGAUGUUAGCGGCGGACGGGUGAGUAACACGUGGAUAACCUACCUAUAAGACUGGGAUAACUUCGGGAAACCGGAGCUAAUACCGGAUAAUAUUUUGAACCGCAUGGUUCAAAAGUGAAAGACGGUCUUGCUGUCACUUAUAGAUGGAUCCGCGCUGCAUUAGCUAGUUGGUAAGGUAACGGCUUACCAAGGCAACGAUGCAUAGCCGACCUGAGAGGGUGGUCGGCCACACUGGAACUGAGACACGGUCCAGACUCCUACGGGAGGCAGCAGUAGGGAAUCUUCCGCAAUGGGCGAAAGCCUGACGGAGCAACGCCGCGUGAGUGAUGAAGGUCUUCGGAUCGUAAAACUCUGUUAUUAGGGAAGAACAUAUGUGUAAGUAACUGUGCACAUCUUGACGGUACCUAAUCAGAAAGCCUCGGCUAACUACGUG
RNAcentral lists this ribosomal RNA (497 nucleotides) under uncultured bacterium. RNAcentral's name for it is "partial 16S ribosomal RNA". It matches the Rfam family "Bacterial small subunit ribosomal RNA", at positions 28 to 507 of the family's 1533-position model. The record is from RNAcentral.